Molecule: long non-coding RNA, 316 nt
Organism: Myotis lucifugus (little brown bat)
Lineage: Eukaryota; Metazoa; Chordata; Mammalia; Chiroptera; Vespertilionidae
Exons: 2
Source: RefSeq, a predicted model, not a curated record
UACAAGCUCCGUCACGGAAUGAAUUAAACACUUCCCAAAGACACCGAAAGGUGGCAGAAUACGUUACCCCAAAAUAUGCCUCUUUGUCGUAAGGAUUACUUUGUGCUAAAGGCACUUGAAAAAAAAAAACACAAAAAACAGCAGAUGCACGAAAGGCAUUUGGAUUUCCCCUUUUCUUCCUGAAGACGAGAUAAAUACUCCCCCGGGAAAGCUGUCCUCCCUGGACCAGGAGAAAAGAAACGUUCUUCAACAGAGAAGCAAAGCCAAGAGAACUCUGCACAAACACAUUUUAUUAAAAAACGAAAUUCUUAUUUUC